AUUGAACGCUGGCGGCAUGCCUUACACAUGCAAGUCGAACGGCAGCACGGGUGCUUGCACCUGGUGGGGAGUGGCGAACGGGUGAGUAAUACAUCGGAACGUACCUUAUCGUGGGGGAUAACGCAGCGAAAGCUGUGCUAAUACCGCAUACGCCCUGAGGGGGAAAGCGGGGGAUCGAAAGACCUCGCGCGAUUAGAGCGGCCGAUGCCUGAUUAGCUUGUUGGUGGGGUAAAAGCCCACCAAGGCGACGAUCAGUAGCUGGUCUGAGAGGACGAUCAGCCACACUGGGACUGAGACACGGCCCAGACUCCUACGGGAGGCAGCAGUGGGGAAUUUUGGACAAUGGGGGCAACCCUGAUCCAGCAAUGCCGCGUGAGUGAAGAAGGCCUUCGGGUUGUAAAGCUCUUUCGUCAGGGAAGAAACACCGGCUCUAACACAGUCCGGGAAUGACGGUACCUGAAGAAUAAGCACCGGCUAACUACGUGCCAGCAGCCGCCGUAA
This 501-nucleotide ribosomal RNA is filed under the name uncultured bacterium. RNAcentral describes it as "partial 16S ribosomal RNA". It matches the Rfam family "Bacterial small subunit ribosomal RNA", at positions 29 to 523 of the family's 1533-position model. The record is from RNAcentral.